This is a transfer RNA of Felis catus (domestic cat), 92 nucleotides long. It matches the Rfam family "tRNA". Rfam says of the family: Transfer RNA (tRNA) molecules are approximately 80 nucleotides in length. Their secondary structure includes four short double-helical elements and three loops (D, anti-codon, and T loops). NCBI's taxonomy places the organism in Eukaryota, Metazoa, Chordata, Mammalia, Carnivora, Felidae. The record is from Rfam.
GCCUGGGUGGCUUAGUCGGUUAAGCGUCUGACUCUUGAUUUUGGCUCAGGUCAUGAUCUCACGGUUUGUGAGUUUGAGCCCCACUUCAGGCU